CAGUCGCCGCGGUAAUACGAAGGGGGCUAGCGUUGUUCGGAUUUACUGGGCGUAAAGGGCGCGUAGGCGGGCGAAUAAGUCAGGGGUGAAAUCCCAAGGCUCAACCUUGGAACUGCCUUUGAUACUGUUUGUCUUGAGUUCGAGAGAGGUAAGUGGAACUGCGAGUGUAGAGGUGAAAUUCGUAGAUAUUCGCAAGAACACCAGUGGCGAAGGCGGCUCACUGGCCCGUAACUGACGCUGAGGCGCGAAAGCGUGGGGAGCAAACAGGAUUAGAUACCCGAGUAGUCCCUGUCUCUUAUAC
This 301-nucleotide ribosomal RNA is filed under the name uncultured bacterium. Its description in RNAcentral is "partial 16S ribosomal RNA". It matches the Rfam family "Bacterial small subunit ribosomal RNA", at positions 509 to 807 of the family's 1533-position model. The record is from RNAcentral.